AAUCGCAGUAAGGAAAGAAAAAUUCUCUGUUACUAAACCCCAGAAUAUCUUUUUCUACAAAAUUGACACAGAGCUGAGAUUUUACUCAAUCAUUAUCCCAUACGUUUCUCUUACUCUAAUUGCUAACUUUACACAGCAUUAA
Homo sapiens (human) is the source of this 142-nucleotide long non-coding RNA. NCBI's taxonomy places the organism in Eukaryota, Metazoa, Chordata, Mammalia, Primates, Hominidae. The record is from Ensembl.